UUGCUUUGGCAGCACAUGUGCUAAAAUUGGAACAAUACAGAGAAGAUGAGCACAGCCCCUGUGCAAGGAUGACAUGCAAAUUCGUGAAGCAUUCUGUAUUUUU
RNAcentral lists this small nuclear RNA (103 nucleotides) under Sus scrofa (pig). Lineage: Eukaryota; Metazoa; Chordata; Mammalia; Artiodactyla; Suidae. The record is from RNAcentral.